Molecule: ribosomal RNA, 254 nt
Filed under: uncultured bacterium
Lineage: Bacteria
Description: partial 16S ribosomal RNA
Rfam family: Bacterial small subunit ribosomal RNA
Source: RNAcentral
UACGAAGGGGGGCUAGCGUUGCUCGGAAUCACUGGGCGUAAAGCGCACGUAGGCGGACUCUUAAGUCGGUGGUGAAAUCCUGGAGCUCAACUCCAGAACUGCCUUCGAUACUGGGAGUCUCGAGUCCGGGAGAGGUGAGUGGAACUGCGAGUGUAGAGGUGAAAUUCGUAGAUAUUCGCAAGAACACCAGUGGCGAAGGCGGCUCACUGGCCCGGUACUGACGCUGAGGUGCGAAAGCGUGGGGAGCAAACAGG